AGUGAACGCUGGCGGUAGGCCUAACACAUGCAAGUCGAACGGCAGCACAGUAAGAGCUUGCUCUUACGGGUGGCGAGUGGCGGACGGGUGAGGAAUACAUCGGAAUCUACUUUUUCGUGGGGGAUAACGUAGGGAAACUUACGCUAAUACCGCAUACGACCUACGGGUGAAAGCAGGGGAUCUUCGGACCUUGCGCGGUUGAAUGAGCGGAGGUCGGAUUAGCUAGUUGGCGGGGUAAAGGCCCACCAAGGCGACGAUCCGUAGCCGGUCUGAGAGGAGGAUCAGCCACACUGGAACUGAGACACGGUCCAGAGUCCUACGGGAGGCAGCAGUGGGGAAUGGUGGACAAUGGUCGCAAGCCUGAUCCAGCCAUCCCGCGUGGGUGAAGAAGACCUUCGGGUUGUAAAGCCCUUUUGUUGGGAAAGAAAAGCAGCAGGUUAAUACCCCGCUGUUCUGACGGUACCCAAAGAAUAAGCACCGGCUAACUUCGUG
Molecule: ribosomal RNA, 492 nt
Filed under: uncultured bacterium
Lineage: Bacteria
Description: partial 16S ribosomal RNA
Rfam family: Bacterial small subunit ribosomal RNA
Source: RNAcentral